AGGCUUAACACAUGCAAGUCGAGGGGUAAGGCUCUUUCGGGAGUACACGACCGGCGCACGGGUGCGUAACGCGUAUGCAAUCUACCUUUAACUGGAGAAUAGGCAGAGGAAACUCGGAUUAAUACUCCAUAAUAUCCAAUUUUCGCAUGAUUUUUGGAUUAAAGCUCCGGCGGUUUAAGAUGGGCAUGCGUGACAUUAGAUAGUUGGUAAGGUAACGGCUUACCAAGUCUACGAUGUCUAGGGGGUCUUAAAGGAUGAUCCCCCACACUGGUACUGAGACACGGACCAGACUCCUACGGGAGGCAGCAGUGAGGAAUAUUGGUCAAUGGGCGAAAGCCUGAACCAGCCAUCCCGCGUGAAGGAUGACAGCGCUACGCGUUGUAAACUUCUUUUGUAUAGGAAGAAAAAUCUCUACGUGUAGAGAACUGACGGUACUAUACGAAUAAGCAUCGGCUAACUCCGUGCCAGCAGCCGCGGUAAUACGGAGGAUGCAAGCGUUAUCCGGAUUUAUUAGGUUUAAAGGGUGUGUAGGCGGAAUAAUAAGUCAGUGGUGAAAUCCUGCAGCUUAACUGUAGAACUGCCAUUGAAACUGUUAUUCUUGAGUAUAGUUGAGGUGGGCGGAAUGUGUCAUGUAGCGGUGAAAUGCAUAGAGAUGACACAGAACACCGAUUGCGUAGGCAGCUUACUAAGCUAUAACUGACGCUGAUGCACGAAAGCGUGGGGAGCGAACAGGAUUAGAUACCCUGGUAGUCCACGCCGUAAACGAUGAUUACUCGUUGUUGGCAAUACAUCGUCAGCGACUGAGCGAAAGCAUUAAGUGAUACACCUGGGGAGUACGGUCGCAAGAUUGAAACUCAAAGGAAUUGACGGGGGCCAGAACAAGCGGAGGAACAUGUGGUUUAAUUCGAUGAUACGCGAGGAACCUUACCUGGGCUUAAAUGUAGAGUGCAGUUCGCCGAAAGGCGUUCUCCCUUCGGGGCGGACUGCAAGGUGCUGCAUGGUUGUCGUCAGCUCGUGCCGUGAGGUGUCGGGUUAAGUCCCAUAACGAGCGCAACCCCUAUCAUUAGUUACCAGCGGAUCAUGCCGGGGACUCUAAUGAGACUGCCACCGUAAGGUGUGAGGAAGGUGGGGAUGACGUCAAAUCAGCACGGCCCUUACGUCCAGGGCUACACACGUGUUACAAUGGCAAGGACAAAGGGCAGCUACCUGGUGACAGGAUGCUAAUCUCUAAACCUUGUCUUAGUUCGGAUCGAAGUCUGCAACUCGACUUCGUGAAGCUGGAUUCGCUAGUAAUCGUAUAUCAGCAAUGAUACGGUGAAUACGUUCCCGGGCCUUGUACACACCGCCCGUCAAGCCAUGGAAGCUGGGGGUACCUGAAGUCUGUGACCGUAAGGAGCGGCCUUAGGGUAAAACUGGUAACUGGGGCUAAG
RNAcentral lists this ribosomal RNA (1430 nucleotides) under uncultured prokaryote. RNAcentral describes it as "partial 16S ribosomal RNA". It matches the Rfam family "Bacterial small subunit ribosomal RNA". The record is from RNAcentral.